UUUACAAAUGAAGAAGUUCAGCCCCAAGGAGGUUAAGGAAUUUGUCCAAGGUCACAAAAGUAGGAAGUUUUGAAGACAGAAGAAAUGACUGAGGAGAUCAAAACCACAAGACUUCUAUCCCCUUGGAAGAGAUAAAAUCGCUCCUAAUUGCAUAAGGACAGGAAAGGACAGUGUAUCUUUUUGGGGUAGUAUCAGGUAAACUUGUGAGGCUUAAAGGUAAUGAACUGAUGUCCUGAAAGUAUGUCAAAGGCUAGAGGUAUGAGAGAUAACAACUUUUAUUUUAAUUAAGCCUUUAAAUUAACUCAGAGGGAGAGAAAGCUGAAUUUCUAAACUCAAUUUAAGGAUAUAGUAAUAUGUUUUUUGGCAGAUACAGUCUCAAUUAUAACAUUAAUACAUCUUAAAAUCAAUUACAAUAUAGAAUCAAUAUAGUAGAAAGUUGAGGUAAUAAUACUAUUGAUCUGAGGUUGGCCUCUGGGGACCAUUGUAAUUCUAAAUUUGUGAUCUUAUGG
This 509-nucleotide long non-coding RNA is filed under the name Monodelphis domestica (gray short-tailed opossum). RNAcentral's name for it is "lncRNA (ENSMODG00000051134.1)". The record is from RNAcentral. Lineage: Eukaryota; Metazoa; Chordata; Mammalia; Didelphimorphia; Didelphidae.